GCCAGGGUAGCUCAGUGGUUGAGCAUAGACCUAGGUUCAAAUCCUGGUCAGGGCA
This is a non-coding RNA of Myotis lucifugus (little brown bat), 55 nucleotides long. NCBI's taxonomy places the organism in Eukaryota, Metazoa, Chordata, Mammalia, Chiroptera, Vespertilionidae. The record is from Rfam.